AUUCUCUUAGCACAUCAGCUCCUGGAAACAAAUGCACUUAACCAGAAAAACAGGGACAUCAACCAGCAAAGAUGCAUCCUCAUUUAAUAGAGCUUGAAAUUACUAUAAUCUGUAAAGUACAGCGAGAAGAAGAAGUUUCACCUGCCUGCACAUCUGUCGUUGACUCUCCAUCUGACUUGGAGGGACUCUGAGGGACCAACCUGAGCCUGAGAAGAGGCAAGAUUCCCCUUCAAGGACACACUGGGAACUUACGGACCUCUUUCUCCAUGGUGCAGAGCGCAGAGGCUACCUGAGAAUAUCCAGAGACUACAGAGGUCAUCAAGUUGACGCAUCAAUGUUUACAUGUGAACAAACAGACGCAUAAUAGCUCUUGAGCUUGCCAUUGGGAAGUGAAAAUCAACUGCUUGAAUAAAUGUAAGGACUCAGGGACCAAAAACUAAUGAAAGGCCUCAAGAUGAGGAUCAUGGGAGGAGUCUGAAUUCUGCUAAAAUGUAGGCAGUUUCUAUCAUCCUUACUACUCAGGAGUCAUGUGGCCAGAGGUCACAAGAUUUGAGCCUUCCCCAGUUGCUCCUAUGGAUAACAUCACUACUGUAGAACCUAAGAUUGGUCUCUUGAGAUGUUUUUCAGACCUCUGCAUUCUGGCAAUCAACUGACCUCACCUGGAAUCACGAGUCAUGACUGAACCGGUCCUGUGGCCCCACCUGGGGAUAAACUCAGCACACAAGGAUCAUUUUCCACACCUCUAUGAUUUCAUAGGCAACCAAUCAACGGCACCCAUUUUUUAGCCUCCUGCUCGCCAAAGCAUCUUUGAAAAAUCCUAACCUCCAAGCCUUCGGGGAGACUGAUUUGAGUAAUAACUCUGUUCCCUGCAUGGCUGGUCUAGUGUCAAUUAAACUCUUUCUUUACUGCCAUACCAUAGUCUCAGCGAAUUGGUUUUGUCUGUGCAAUGGGCAGGAAGAACGUGUCUGGUGAGCAUCUCCACACAUUCAGAAAUUGUCCAUCUAAGACAAUGGAGUUAUUUUCACCCUCAACAAAUGCCUCAACUCUGUGACAUUUUAAGCAAAUCUUAACUUUGACUUAUGAAUUCAAGAAGGAAAAAAAAAAAGUAAGAAAA
Molecule: long non-coding RNA, 1114 nt
Filed under: Homo sapiens (human)
Lineage: Eukaryota; Metazoa; Chordata; Mammalia; Primates; Hominidae
Description: long intergenic non-protein coding RNA 507
Source: RNAcentral